Astatotilapia calliptera (eastern happy) is the source of this 1064-nucleotide long non-coding RNA. The record is from Ensembl. Lineage: Eukaryota; Metazoa; Chordata; Actinopteri; Cichliformes; Cichlidae.
CCAUUGGCACUGGAGCCAAUUAUUCCAUUUAUUAUUGUACUAAUAAGGGGCUUCUUUCUAUUGUUAUAUGUUGUAUUACAGAUAUGUUAAAGGUGUUUAAGUGAAACCUGAUGCAACUAUCAGAGAUUACUGUGGGUAAAAAAACAGAAUGGGGCAUUGUGGCGUUCCACAGGGCGCUAUCAUAGAUCCUCUACUUUUCAUUUACUUUUAAAUUAUAUUCUUGUUUUUCAAAGCACAAAAUAUUUCCUCCUUCAUGAAGCUCAGCUUUUAAAAUUGUUUUAAGGCUUAAAGUUUGCAUAAUUAGAGGUGUGGCCUCUGAUUGACAGGGGACUCUAGCUGCUAACUGUUUACUAGCUUCAUUUGGAGCCUUUUGGAGGAUUUUUAAUUACAUCAUGUGGCCAAUAAUAUGGCUGCUGUGAGGUUACUGUACUAACAGACUGUCCAAGAAGAUGGAGCUCCAGGGUUGCUGAGUGAAAUCAAGGAUUUUAAUUGGAUAUUGUUCCACAGCUGGAGUCCACAGACACCUUCAAACAUCACUGUUAUCUCACUGCUGCUAAUGAGUCAGAACACUCAGUGAGAUUAGCACACUGAAGCCGGAUGCUUCACCUGAUCGCAUGCACAGGUCACAUGUCUGCCCAUUGACUGCUGAUUAAUCGGCUCAUUGUUGCAGCUCUCAUGUGCCUGUUCGGGGUCCUGCCCCUCGUGUUGGGAACCUCAGCAAUGCUCAUCAUCUCCUCUGUAACACACGUCGGAGCCUCCAAUGAUGGUCUUCUUCAUUAACCAACCAAUCAGCAGCCCUCAGACCUUGCCCUGCAGACACUGCUGUGCAGAAACGUCUGAUAUGUUUAAUUCUCCAGGUUUUAAAUAUCAUCAGCUGGAUUUAUUCAUCUGUUAAAUCUUCUCUAGCCAGCCAAAACAUAAAUUAAAACAGUGAAACCUGGACCAUAAAUCCAGACAAUUAUCAAAGAAAAGUGAAAAAUUUAAAAAUCUGGAACUCAAACUAAAAAUGUUUUUGCUUAAACUCUAUUUUCAUAAACUCAAAGAUUAAAUUUCUUGGAUGUGAU